AACGGCCGUACCAUGCUGAAUAUACCGGUUCUCGUUAGAUCACCGAAGUCAAGCAUCAUUGGGCGCGGUCAGUACUUGGGUGGGUGACCACCGGGAACACUGCGUGCCGUU
This is a non-coding RNA of Caerostris darwini, 111 nucleotides long. NCBI's taxonomy places the organism in Eukaryota, Metazoa, Arthropoda, Arachnida, Araneae, Araneidae. The record is from the annotation of a GenBank genome assembly.